UGCACCUCUCCUAGAUUCCAUUUAAGGCCUGACUGCCACUGGGGAAGGGUCUCUUUCUGAGAUCUUUUUGGGUCAGAACUCCUCCUUUUGGAGUUUUCUACUGUGAGCCUGAGACACAGAGCAGCUACAAAGGUUGGGACCUUCCCCACAGGUACUUGUGCAUUUUCAGGAGCUCAGCACCAUGCCAAAACCUUGGGGACUGGGAGAACGACUGAAAGAUGAACUCAACGCUGUUACUGUUACUGGUUUGACUCCCAUCUGAACUCUGCCAAUGAAAGCUAUAUCAUCCUGACAAGAAAUCAGCUGCUGCCUGAAACCUCUGACUUUGAGGUCAGGCUGGGUUUCCCUGAGGUCUUGGAGGUUGUGUGCAGAAUGAUUUUCCCAGCCUUGCUGCGGUGUGGUGGCUCAGCUGGCAGAGCAUCCUGUUGCCAUGGGGCAGCAAGCCAGGUCUGGGGAUUUUCACACAUGUCUCCCUUCUCAGCCUGCACAUUCAUUUAUACAUGGAACCAUGGCCAAGUGCUGCACAGCAGAUGAAUGUGGGGCUUUCUGGGAGGUGGUGGAGGAAGCUGAGGCAUGGCUCUGCGUGCCUGCCAAAAGGCUGAGCUUCUCAGAGGGUUAGAUUCUACACCUGUGGCUAAUUAAUUAAUGAGGCCAAUAAAUGAAUGACUUCCAGCACUGCUGUUACUGCUAUGCUGUGAGAAACAGUGGCUGGUUUCCUGCAUUACCUUGUUUUUUCCACAUUGUAAUCUCUCUGCUGUGCUGCUCAUACUAGGGACAGUGGCACGAGCACUGCUGGCAGUCAGUCUCCCAGUUAGCUGUGUUGUAAAUGUGGUGUGGAGAGAAGUUUUUCUGAACACCUUAACUUCUUCCUGGGCAGGCUCCCUAAAAUUGGGGAAUUUAUCUUGCUUAGCACAUUCAGAAUGUGGCACAUAGCUUGAAACGGAAACUCCUAUUUCUCCUUGACUGGAAAUCUCUUUAAAAUCUCAGCACACCCACACACUGAAGGUCGGGCUCAUUUGAUGCAUACCCAAGAUCUCCCUGGGUGGUACAACACAUUGCUGCAUCUGCACAGUUUUUCUUUUAAUCUGCUGUGCUGGACUUUUUGGCAGUGAGGCUAUUGCAGUCACUCAGAAACACUUUAUUUCUUUGAGAAACAGAUAAAGGGUGAAUUCUAAAAAAGGACAUACUCUUUCUAAACAAGCAUUGGGUUUGAGUCUUACUGUGAAUUUGUAGCCUUUGCUGAAGACUGUUGAUAAAGUCAGACAUAUGAAGAGAGAACUUUCUCUGCAUGAAAAACACAAGCUAUCUUCUAAAUCAAAUAUGGAAAGCCUCAAAUCCUUUUUAAUUCCCAUUUUGGUUAUUCAGCCUACUUAAAAAAAAAAUGGCGUAAUGCUGAAAUACAGUAAAGGCAAAUUAUUUUGUAGCCACAAUAAUGAAGGACACCUUGCACUGUAAUAAUGUGAUGAUCUCUACUUAGUGGCAUCAGUACCUUCAGGGCUGCUAUCACCUCUCUUAAUAAUACCUUCAAGAAAUGGGUGCAGUACAAGUGAAUGCCAUCAUUUUGGGAAAUUUCUUAGUAAUAUUCUUUGCUGGAGAAAAAUGAUCUUAGCACCUGAUGUUCUGACUCACUCUCAUGGCUUAGUUCUCCUUAAUUCCACCUCUAUGUUGGUGUCUCUUUUGACACUGUUAUCUGAGAUAAAUAUGUUACAGAAGAGAGAAAAGGAAAAUGCUAAGUGAAAAUGGAUAAAGUUCUUAAAACAAGAAAAUAAUGGAGAAAAGAGUUGUAGAGUACAGAAAUGAACAAAGUGAAUUCACCCUGUGUAAAAAAGAGGUUUGAUGUGGUACCCAGGGUCCAGAAGACUGACCACAUGUCAACUUUUCUCCCUUGGUCCUUUGCAAGUCAGAAUGAAGUUGGCCAGUGAAUUAAAGACUUAAAAGGAGCCAACUAAAAUGAAGUUUAAACAAAAAGUGGUUUUGAAAAGAGCAUUUUCUUUCCUUCAUAUUAGGAUCUGUAUCCAGAACUACUUCAGGUCAAACCACUCACAAAUCCAGCUCUCAUUCUCAAGGCGUCUAAUUACUAGAAAUUGGUGAUGUCAAUUUCUACAGUUUGAAACUUUCUUGAAACCUGAGGCAUUCCAAGGUCUUUGAUUUAAUCCUUUCCAAGAAUCUCACUGUAUUGGCAGUCUUUGAAUCCUGUUUGUACUUAGAACUGAUCAAAUUUUAGGUAUGUUGUUACCGAGCAAAGUAAUGUAAGACCUGUAGGGCUGAAAUACUCAUGAGGAAGACCUGUGGGAAAGUUCCUAUUCUUCUGUUUUCUCAUGUCCUGACUGAGUUCUCUGAAAACCAGCAGAUAGCUGCUGCUCUGCAAGUCAAGAAGUCUUGAGUUGGAAAUGUGGAUAACAAUUUUGUCAGAAUUUAUAUUUUCUUCUGAAAUAUUAUUAUUGUUUUAAGACUAAUUCCAUAUAUUUGGAUAACAGAGCUUGUUACUGAUAACUUCUUGGUCAUCUCUGCUAUGAAUAGUUUGUAUAAAGAGUGCUGACCGUAACUGGAAUACAGGUUAAAGUUCUAGGGGAUUAAAGUUGCAGUGUUGGAUCAGAAUGCUUUUGGGACAAGAUAAAAACAAUGCCCUAUGCUUAAUCUAUAGCACACCUUUGCAAUCCCAGUAUUAUCUCUCCUCUAAAGACAAAUAACAAUUACUGUCCUUCUGAAACUCUUGUUUUUCCAUGGUAGUACAUCUGUAAGAAAUGCAAGCCAUGGAAGAUCUGAAUGUAUCUUCAAACAAUGCCAUGCAGCAUUGCCCUAUGAUUAGCCAUGACUCAGUCACAUCUGGUUUCUAACUCGUGUCUCAGAUCUUUUAAAGAUCUUGGCAUCAUAGUGGAUGAAGGUUAUAAAUCAUUUUGAGAGGAUCAUGAUUAAAAUAGAGAAGUUUUCUCUGAGGAGACAAAUUUAAAAACAUAAAGUUGAUAAACAACGAUAAGUAUAUCUGAAUUAUCUGAAUAUCUCGUCUUCUUGCAUGAAGUGUAGUCAAGAGCAUUUGCUGUUUUUCUAGAGUGGUAUAUCUAGGUUAGAAAGCAGUCCUAGGUCAAUUCUUAGCCUGAUGAUAAUGCACUGAAAUCAUAAUGCUGACCAUUUAAGUGCUUCUUCUGACUUCUUUUUUUGAGUAUUUCUGGCUUUAAUGAUAGUAACAGCCACUUGAAGUUCAUGUGAGGAAAAUAUGUCUAUGUAAUAGGUCAAAUUUGAGUUCUCUUUCUAACAUCUUGUGUAAAUACACCUCAGUCACUGGGUGAAUUUACUAUUAUGACCUGUUAGUGAGAGCUCUGAAUUAUCCAUAAAAAUGGUGCUGUUUAAGGCCAGCCUUGAAGAGCUAGGUCCCUGGCUGAGAAAAUCAUAUUGUUAAUGAAACUUCAUCUUUUGGCCUUUUAGUGAAGGCUGUAACAGGCUUCAGAGAUUAGGCAAAAUAGGCAACCUGUCACAACAGGCUGCACUGGUC
Molecule: long non-coding RNA, 3490 nt
Organism: Lagopus muta (rock ptarmigan)
Lineage: Eukaryota; Metazoa; Chordata; Aves; Galliformes; Phasianidae
Exons: 3
Source: RefSeq, a predicted model, not a curated record